RNAcentral lists this ribosomal RNA (466 nucleotides) under uncultured bacterium. Its description in RNAcentral is "bacterial SSU rRNA". It matches the Rfam family "Bacterial small subunit ribosomal RNA", at positions 42 to 509 of the family's 1533-position model. The record is from RNAcentral.
GCGUGCUUAACACAUGCAAGUCGAACGAAGAGAGAUUAGCUUGCUAAUUGAACUUAGUGGCGGACGGGUGAGUAACGUGUGGGCAACCUACCUUAUACAGGGGAAUAAUCACUGGAAACGGUGACUAAUACCGCAUAAUAUUGCGAUAAGGCAUCUUAUUGCAAAAGAAAGGAGCAAUACCGGUAAAAAGUUGGGCCCCGCAUCUGAUUAGCUAGUUGGUGAGAUAACAGCCCACCAAGGCAACGAUCAGUAGCCGACCUGAGAGGGUGAUCGGCCACAUUGGGACUGAGACACCGGACCCAAACUCCGUACGGGAGGCAGCAGGUGGGGAAUUAUUGCACAAUGGGGGAAACCCUGAUGCAGCAACGCCGCGUGAAGGAAGAAGGUUUUCGGAUCGUAAACUUCUAUCAAUAGGGACGAAGGAAAUGACGGUACCUAAAUAAGAAGCCCCGGCUAACUACGUGCC